RNAcentral lists this ribosomal RNA (468 nucleotides) under uncultured bacterium. RNAcentral describes it as "partial 16S ribosomal RNA". It matches the Rfam family "Bacterial small subunit ribosomal RNA", at positions 28 to 507 of the family's 1533-position model. The record is from RNAcentral.
GACGAACGCUGGCGGCGUGCUUAACACAUGCAAGUCGAACGGACAGGCCCUGCUUUUGUGGGGUGCUCGAGUGGCGAACGGGUGAGUAACACGUGAGUAACCUGCCCUUGACUUUGGGAUAACUUCAGGAAACUGGGGCUAAUACCGGAUAGGAGCUCCUGCUGCAUGGUGGGGGUUGGAAAGUUUCGGCGGUUGGGGAUGGACUCGCGGCUUAUCAGCUUGUUGGUGGGGUAGUGGCUUACCAAGGCUUUGACGGGUAGCCGGCCUGAGAGGGUGACCGGCCACAUUGGGACUGAGAGACGGCCCAGACUCCUACGGGAGGCAGCAGUGGGGAAUAUUGCACAAUGGGCGGAAGCCUGAUGCAGCAACGCCGCGUGCGGGAUGACGGCCUUCGGGUUGUAAACCGCUUUCGCCUGUGACGAAGCGUGAGUGACGGUAAUGGGUAAAGAAGCACCGGCUAACUACGUG